GGAGAGGUGGCCGAGCGGUCGAAGGCGCACGAUUGGAAAUCGUGUAUACGGCGAAACCGUAUCGAGGGUUCGAAUCCCUCUCUCUCCGCCA
Molecule: transfer RNA, 91 nt
Filed under: Alphaproteobacteria bacterium
Lineage: Bacteria; Pseudomonadati; Pseudomonadota; Alphaproteobacteria
Also listed under: 1 other name
Description: tRNA-Ser
Rfam family: tRNA
About the family: Transfer RNA (tRNA) molecules are approximately 80 nucleotides in length.
Source: RNAcentral